Molecule: long non-coding RNA, 786 nt
Organism: Carassius auratus (goldfish)
Lineage: Eukaryota; Metazoa; Chordata; Actinopteri; Cypriniformes; Cyprinidae
Exons: 2
Source: RefSeq, a predicted model, not a curated record
UGGAAAUAAAAUUAGAAAAAAAGUGUCUAAUGUGAUUGGCAUAACAGAUUUGAUUUCGGGUGCGGGUCGGGUGUCGGUUCUAUUUUAGGCGGGUAAUUUGUGCUGCUGUCGAAAAACGGGUUCUGAUGCGGUUUUAAGCACUGCGGGUACGGGCGGGUGCGGAUUUACAAAAUCGGACCCGUGCAGCUCUCUGCCGUGAGACCUCCGUUUAUCUUUGGAACACAGUCUUAAAGGGGCAGGGUCCCCGCGGGUCCUUAAAAAGUCUUGAAAUGUCUUAAAUACAAUUUUCGAUUUUUAAGGUCUGAAAAUGUCUUGAAUCCUGGAAUUUUCCAUAUGAAUGUCUUAAAUUUCAUGUGGGGUCUUAAAUUUCAUGUCCGACUCGUCAUUUUUAUUUAUUUUUUCAACCGCAAUUUGACCAGCACAACAUUUGGGGGCAGCACUUCGUGGGUGCAACCUGCAUCAUACCAUAUGUCACAUACGAGUAAGUGAUUGAUGAACGCGUAUCGCUGAUGGUUCGCCACCACGGCAUUUUGCGAAAUCGCAAGCAUGGGCAAAGACGAUAAAGCUGUGGACAAGACCAUGAUUGUCAGGUCUCGCUAUCUUGGUUCUCAGUUUUUGAGCACCUCAAUGGCAGAAGACUUGCUGGAGCACUUUAAGGAGGGCACCAAGGAACUUAAUUUAAGGAACAUGCUUUCUGUGUCAAUGGAUGGACCCACAGUAAAUUGGAAAGUCAUGGAUCUCCUACAACUGGAACAUGCAAUAAAUUUCUGAUCCUGAUCUUUCCUA